UCUUUAGAAGGAGCCAUGUGCCUGGCAAAUC
RNAcentral lists this non-coding RNA (31 nucleotides) under Homo sapiens (human). Lineage: Eukaryota; Metazoa; Chordata; Mammalia; Primates; Hominidae. The record is from RNAcentral.